Molecule: ribosomal RNA, 407 nt
Filed under: uncultured bacterium
Lineage: Bacteria
Description: bacterial SSU rRNA
Rfam family: Bacterial small subunit ribosomal RNA
Source: RNAcentral
UAUCCGGAAUUAUUGGGCGUAAAGGGCUCGUAGGCGGUUCGUCGCGUCCGGUGUGAAAGUCCAUCGCUUAACGGUGGAUCCGCGCCGGGUACGGGCGGGCUUGAGUGCGGUAGGGGAGACUGGAAUUCCCGGUGUAACGGUGGAAUGUGUAGAUAUCGGGAAGAACACCGAUGGCGAAGGCAGGUCUCUGGGCCGUCACUGACGCUGAGGAGCGAAAGCGUGGGGAGCGAACAGGAUUAGAUACCCUGGUAGUCCACGCCGUAAACGGUGGAUGCUGGAUGUGGGGACCAUUCCACGGUCUCCGUGUCGGAGCCAACGCGUUAAGCAUCCCGCCUGGGGAGUACGGCCGCAAGGCUAAAACUCAAAGAAAUUGACGGGGGCCCGCACAAGCGGCGGAGCAUGCGGAU